GAUGAAGAACGUAGCGAAAUGCGAUAAGUAAUGUGAAUUGCAGAAUUCAGUGAAUCAUCGAAUCUUUGAACGCACCUUGCGCCCUUUGGCCAUUCCGAAGGGCAUGCCUGUUUGAGUAUCAUGAACACCUCAACUCUCAUGGCUCGCCAUGAUGAGCUUGGAUUUGGGGGUCUUGCUGGCCUGUGGUCGGCUCCUCUCAAAUGGAUCAGCUUGCCAGUGUUUGGUGGCAUCACAGGUGUGAUAACUAUCUGCGCUUGUGGUUUUCCAUAAGAUAACCUUCAGUGAUGGAGGUUCGCUGGAGCUCAUAAACGUCUCCCCUAAGCGGGGACAGCCCUUUGAAUGUUUGAUCUCAAAUCAGGUAGGACUACCCGCUGAACUUAAGCAUACAAUAAGCGGAGGA
Molecule: unclassified non-coding RNA, 400 nt
Filed under: soil metagenome
Description: partial contains 5.8S ribosomal RNA, internal transcribed spacer 2, and large subunit ribosomal RNA
Rfam family: 5.8S ribosomal RNA (bases 1-121)
Source: RNAcentral